UGUGAAGUUAAGUGAUUCAAUCAAUGUUGUAAGAGUGCUAAGUUUACGGAAGUAGUUAGCACUCGGUCACCGGAAGUCGACAUUCACCAUGUGAAGAAUUUGAUGCUGGAAUCAAACAUCCCGGAUGACACUUUCAAGAUGGAGUAAACGCAGAUGUACAAACAUUUUGUAGUUGAUCAGCUUAAGGCAAUAAUGAAGACUUCGGAGCUCCACUUCAUAUGAUAAUGGUUCUUUUUGAAAGGUAGAUUUCCAGAUUGAGAAAUUGAGUAGGGUUCUUCGGGGGUUUAUUGAGUUGAUUUUGUAGGGAGCCAUUAAUAUCUCGUCUACCGUCGGAAUGAACACAGUUUGAUCCAGGUAAGCUUUCAUCAAUAUUCAACCAACAUAUCUUCAUGAUAUAAAUUUUUAUGGAGGUGAAGAUGUGAAGUUAAGUGAUUCAAUCAAUGAUGUAAGGGUGCUAAGUUUACGGAAGUAUUUAGCACUCGGUCACCGGAAGUCCACAUUCACCAUGUGAAGAAUUUGAUGCUUGAAUCAAACAUCCCGGAUGACACUUUCAAGGUUGUUAAAGCAUUGGGGGAUCCUAAUAAUGACAUCUCUAAUUAAUUAAGGUGGAUUGCAGAUGAAGUAAACUCAGAUGUACCAACAUUUUGUAGGUGACCUACUUAAGGCAAUAAUGAAGACUUCGGAGCUCCACUUCAUAUGAUAAUGGUUCUUGUCGAAUGGUAGAUUUCCAGAAUGAGAAAUUGAAUAGGUUCGGGGGUUCAUUGAGUUGAUUUUGGAUGGAGCCAUUAAUAUCUCGUCUACCAU
Molecule: long non-coding RNA, 804 nt
Organism: Rosa chinensis
Lineage: Eukaryota; Viridiplantae; Streptophyta; Magnoliopsida; Rosales; Rosaceae
Exons: 3
Source: RefSeq, a predicted model, not a curated record